RNAcentral lists this ribosomal RNA (465 nucleotides) under uncultured bacterium. Its description in RNAcentral is "bacterial SSU rRNA". It matches the Rfam family "Bacterial small subunit ribosomal RNA", at positions 330 to 793 of the family's 1533-position model. The record is from RNAcentral.
GCCAGACUCCUACGGGAGGCAGCAGUGAGGAAUAUUGGUCAAUGGGCGAGAGCCUGAACCAGCCAAGUCGCGUGAGGGAGUACUGCCCUAUGGGUUGUAAACCUCUUUUGUCGGGGAGCAAAAGCCGGACGUGUCCGGCUGUGAGAGUACCCGAAGAAAAAGCAUCGGCUAACUCCGUGCCAGCAGCCGCGGUAAUACGGAGGAUGCGAGCGUUAUCCGGAUUUAUUGGGCGUAAAGGGUGUGCAGGCGGCUGAGUAAGACAGAUGUGAAAUCCCCGGGCUUAACCUGGGAACCGCAUAUGUGACUGCUUGGCUAGAGUGCGUCUGAGGGAGGUGGAAUUCCACGUGUAGCAGUGAAAUGCGUAGAUAUGUGGAAGAACACCGAUGGCGAAGGCAGCCUCCUGGGACGCAACUGACGCUCAUACACGAAAGCGUGGGGAGCAAACAGGAUUAGAUACCCGAGUAC